RNAcentral lists this non-coding RNA (2210 nucleotides) under Pongo abelii (Sumatran orangutan). Lineage: Eukaryota; Metazoa; Chordata; Mammalia; Primates; Hominidae. The record is from RNAcentral.
AAAGAGCAACUUUCCUCUAUAAUGUAAUUAUGUACUUUCUACAUCUAUGGUAACAAUACCUUAGUUUGAUUAUAGGUACUUGUUUAGCGAUAGUCAGUUGGCCCUAGGCUAUAGUUCUAGAGGGUUUGGAAAAUCUCAUACAUCAGAGGUGGAACCAGUAGAAGGAAAACAACAACAAAGGAUCAUGAUAAAGGACUCUGCUGUUACUCAAUGGAGAUACUAAUGCUAUGGAAACCAGCCAUAGGAAAUAAGCCAUUUGGGGAUGGUGUAAAGGGCAGGCUAUAAUGAAACCACUUAUAAUGUGUAAGAUAACAGAAAUCUACAACAUAUUUCUCAAUCAAAAUGAAGACAUUCAGCAUGUACUAGCAGAACCAAUUCAAACUGGAACAAAGAUGGGGCGAGUGGACAUUGCCUUUUCCUCCAAGGGUUGGUUUGACAUCUUAUAAUCACUUUAUAUAACAGCCAUUCUCCCAGUAAAAAGUGAAAAACCAGAGGAAGAGGUCUUACUUCAUCCAACUCCACUGAUUUUGGCUUUGAGAGAAUACAGCUUUAAGAAGGUAUUCCCAGGAAUAUCCCAGGAACUCUAUCCGCCCCCUCAGAAUAGUAGGCAAUUGAGUUAGUGAUGGUGACUCAGGCAGGCUUUUUCAUCCUGAUCUAAAGGAACCACUACAACCCUAGAGAGAGAAAUAAAAAGGGAAUCGAGUGGAAAAGGCCUCCACCACCGAUGACUCAUGCUCCACUGUGACUCGCCUGGCACAUCAAUCUGUGGCUAAGACAUGGAGGCUUGGUUCAUUAGUCACUUCAGUGAUUUUUUCAAAGCAAGGAUUCUCCCUCUAAAUAAUCAUGAGCUCUGCUUCCACAGUGUUUGUAUGUGAGCUUGUGACUCACCUUUCCACCAUGCCAGGCAGUACCAAUUGUGUCAUCUGCAAGAGAGAAAGCAAAACAUUCAUGAUGGCCGAGGAUGCAGGCAACAGAAAAAGAGUGAAGAAAACUCACCCACACUAAAAAGAAGGGAAUCAUGAAACCAUUCACCACUUCUGCAGACAGCAGGUUAUUUUCUGUACACUGUAGAAUGUGACUGUGUCAAGAGGGCAUAAAAAGGAAUCAGCUGAAAUUACUGGAAAGAACACAGGGGCUACUUUCAAUGAACUUGACUAAAAUUAGUCUUGCCUGAAAUGUAAUACUGGCACAGAGUUCUUCAAACAAUGAAGGAUUUACAGUGAAAAUCUACAUUUCCCAAAAUGCAUUCUCAGAAGAGAAUAUAUGUUAUCAGAAGAAAUAUCCUGCCUACCAAGAUGACUUGAGCUUUCUAACCUCAAGAGCUCACAUAAACUUUUCCAGCCAAAAAAAGUCUUUAAAAGAAUACCGUAAAGUGAUAGGUUGGCAAAGAGUAAGUGUAUCUUCACAUUCAUUUCUCUUGUUGGCCUAGUUAGCUGUAAGUAAAACUCAUCCUUAAAGAGAGCUAAGAUGUGAUCUCUAGUAACCAACAAUGAAAAGGUGACAUCUGCAUUUUUUAAGGACUCCAUAAUUGUUGACUAAAUACAUAUAAUGAGGGGCUAUUUUUAAACUCUGUUUUGAUAUAUCAUUAACCAAGAAAAGUUCAGAAGUCCAAUGGUUUAGUCAAAAUCACCUCAUAGUUAAAUACUGAGGCUGUAAUGUGAAUUUCCGACUCCUGGAUAUCAUCAAUUCUGUAAGAAACAGAUGCUGUUUUGUAAUAAUAAGGUUUCAAUGCAUGCUAAGCAUAGAAAUUUUGUUGUUUCUAUCUUGAAUAAUACUUCAUAUUAAUUAAAGUAGACAGCAUUCUGAUGAGAAGGGAAUUUUGUUUUCCUAGAAAUAUUCUGAAGAAAGAAAAUGCCAUCCAGAUUUAACAAGGUAAAUUCUGCUAUGUGGACAUCCAAUCCAGAUUGGAUUAUUGGUAUUAUUGGUAUUAUGAACAGCUUUGUAUGGUAGUACAGAUGUACAUCAGGCAUAUUAACAGUGGUGGGUAUUUUAUCAUAAAGGAUAGAUUAUACAAAACCCUAACAGUAUUUGAAAACAUUUUUUUUUUUUAUUUAGCACAUUUCAUCAGGGACCAUAAUGCUUAGCUAAAGUAUUAUAAAGAGUUCCCCCAGCAUUUUGUGAAGGGAAGCUAUAAUUCAGUUCUCCAAAGUCCUGAGAUCACCAGAAACAGAAUAAGGAAGGAGACUGGUAAUAAAAAUGUCUUUACCCAG